ACAGAUGUGAAAGUAAGGAGAAUGACGUAAUGAACUUCUCAACACCUAUGGCCAAACUCGUUUCAUCUGUGACCUCCUCUCCUUGUUUUUUCCUUCCUCUCAUUUAUUUUGAAGUCUGGAGCCUGGAAGUGCAAAAUCAAGGUGCCAGCAGGGUUGGUGUCUGGUGAGUGAUCUCCUUUUGGGUUGCAGAUGGCCGCCUUCUUGCUGUGUGUGUUCCCAUGGCCUUUCCUCCACACAUGCAGGUGGAGAGAAAAAGAACAAGCUUUCUGGUAUCCAACCACACUGGAAUUUAGGGCUUCGACCUAGGAAUUUUGGGAGGACACAAACACUGAAUCCACAACACAGUCAAAAAAGAGUGAAAGAGCCUGCUCUAGAGAAUUUGCCCACUCAUCUUUCCCAAAGUCAAUAGGACCACCGCUUGCAAACUCCUCUGACUCAGCUAUCAUGGAAAUCUUGGCCAAGGCGUUCUA
Molecule: long non-coding RNA, 470 nt
Organism: Balaenoptera musculus (blue whale)
Lineage: Eukaryota; Metazoa; Chordata; Mammalia; Artiodactyla; Balaenopteridae
Exons: 3
Source: RefSeq, a predicted model, not a curated record